RNAcentral lists this long non-coding RNA (224 nucleotides) under Coturnix japonica (Japanese quail). RNAcentral's name for it is "lncRNA (ENSCJPG00005004956.1)". Lineage: Eukaryota; Metazoa; Chordata; Aves; Galliformes; Phasianidae. The record is from RNAcentral.
GAUUUCUACAGAGACCUAGUUAAAUCUUAUCUCAGCAGCUAAAUAGCGAAGAAGUGAGAAAGCACUGUCCUGAGCCAAACAUUGUGCACGGGAUGGAAGUCAAUGGUGUCUGGCUCCAAGAUGUGAAGACGUGCUGUGACAUGAUGAGUGAGGAACAUCUUGACUGCAGCUGAACGGAGCCCCGUUGGCGAUGGCAAGAAGGAGGUUAGUGCACAAACCUUUGG